GGAGGCUUCGCCUAGUCUGGCCUAUGGCGCGGGACUGCUAAUCCCGUUGGGUCGUUUACGGCCCUCGAGGGUUCGAAUCCCUCAGCCUCCG
RNAcentral lists this transfer RNA (91 nucleotides) under Nitriliruptor sp. RNAcentral's name for it is "tRNA-Ser". It matches the Rfam family "tRNA". From Rfam's summary of the family: Transfer RNA (tRNA) molecules are approximately 80 nucleotides in length. Their secondary structure includes four short double-helical elements and three loops (D, anti-codon, and T loops). Lineage: Bacteria; Bacillati; Actinomycetota; Nitriliruptoria; Nitriliruptorales; Nitriliruptoraceae. The record is from RNAcentral.